UAGCAGCUUUUCCCAGUGGCGCCAAUGC
Molecule: non-coding RNA, 28 nt
Filed under: Homo sapiens (human)
Lineage: Eukaryota; Metazoa; Chordata; Mammalia; Primates; Hominidae
Source: RNAcentral